GACGAACGCUGGCGGCGUGCCUAAUACAUGCAAGUAGAACGCUGAAGGAGGAGCUUGCUUCUCUGGAUGAGUUGCGAACGGGUGAGUAACGCGUAGGUAACCUGCCUGGUAGCGGGGGAUAACUAUUGGAAACGAUAGCUAAUACCGCAUAAGAGUAGAUGUUGCAUGACAUUUGCUUAAAAGGUGCAAUUGCAUCACUACCAGAUGGCCCUGCGUUGUAUUAGCUAGUUGGUGGGGUAACGGCUUACCAAGGCGACGAUACAUAGCCGACCUGAGAGGGUGAUCGGCCACACUGGGACUGAGACACGGCCCAGACUCCUUCGGGAGGCAGCAGUAGGGAAUCUUCGGCAAUGGACGGAAGUCUGACCGAGCAACGCCGCGUGAGUGAAGAAGGUUUUCGGAUCGUAAAGCUCUGUUGUAAGGGAAGAACGAGUGUGAGAGUGGAAAGUUCACACUGUGACGGUAUCUUACCAGAAAGGGACGGCUAACUACGUG
RNAcentral lists this ribosomal RNA (495 nucleotides) under uncultured bacterium. Its description in RNAcentral is "partial 16S ribosomal RNA". It matches the Rfam family "Bacterial small subunit ribosomal RNA", at positions 28 to 507 of the family's 1533-position model. The record is from RNAcentral.